AUUGAACGCUGGCGGCAGGCCUAACACAUGCAAGUCGAACGGUAGCACAGAGAGCUUGCUCUUGGGUGACGAGUGGCGGACGGGUGAGUAAUGUCUGGGAAACUGCCCGAUGGAGGGGGAUAACUACUGGAAACGGUAGCUAAUACCGCAUAACGUCGCAAGACCAAAGUGGGGGGACCCUUCGGGCCUCACACCAUCGGAUGUGCCCAGAUGGGAUUAGCUAGUAGGUGGGUAAUGGCUCACCUAGGCGACGAUCCCUAGCUGGUCUGAGAGGAUGACCAGCCACACUGGAACUGAGACACGGUCCAGACUCCUACGGGAGGCAGCAGUGGGAAUAUUGCACAAUGGGCGCAAGCCUGAUGCAGCCAUGCCGCGUGUA
Molecule: ribosomal RNA, 379 nt
Filed under: uncultured bacterium
Lineage: Bacteria
Description: bacterial SSU rRNA
Rfam family: Bacterial small subunit ribosomal RNA
Source: RNAcentral